RNAcentral lists this unclassified non-coding RNA (6698 nucleotides) under Haliotis rufescens (red abalone). Its description in RNAcentral is "uncharacterized LOC125382663, transcript variant X1". Lineage: Eukaryota; Metazoa; Mollusca; Gastropoda; Lepetellida; Haliotidae. The record is from RNAcentral.
UCACUGGUGGGUUAACAGUGGCAUCCUACUGGGUACCCAUUCACUGGUGGGUUAACAGUGGCAUCCUACUGGGUACCCAUUCACUGGUGGGUUAACAGUGGCAUCCUACUGGGUACCCAUUCACUGGUGGGUUAACAGUGGCAUCCUACUUGGUACCCAUUCACUUGUUUGGUUAACAGUGGCACCCUACUGGGUACCCAUUCACUGGUGGGUUAACAGUGGCAUCCUACUGGGUACCCAUUCACUGGUGGGUUUACAAUGGCACAUGUUGACUUCAGUCAAUAUUCAGUUCCCCUAUUCCUCUGUAAUGUUGAUGUAAUAGUGCAACAAGUGUAUUGUUAUUACUGUAAUGACAUUUUUGGAAGGUGAGAAUGUCCACCAGAUUUGUUACAGCUUGAAGUGUUUAUUUAUCAAAGACGAUAUUUGACUGAGUUGUUGUGAUACUGUUCCUGAGCUAUUGUUGAUACACAGUUGAAAUGUAUUGUUUUAGUAUGAGAGUUUUAGAUGUACCUUAUGCCUAGCUCUAUUCAGAAAGUAUUAAUCCUUUUCUCUGAGUCUCCUGCAUAUUCUGCUUCUACAGCCUAACCACCAUGUCGUGGUCUCUGAUCAAAGCUGGCCAGGCGACUGGGCUCUCAUUAUCACAGUUACUGGGCAGAACGGCUAUUAGGUGAUACUGCAUGUUUUCUUGGAUAAUAUAUUGUAUUAGUUUAAUAUCAGACCAAUGAAAGUUUGUAUCUCUCCUUGUGCUGCCAUUAAAGAGUUUACAUUGUACAUUAAUGGAAAUAAAUUCAGGAAGUCUGUCAGAUAUGUGUUUGUUUCAAAUAUUGUAAAUAGGUAAAUUGUUUUGGUUGGUUUGGUGUUUGGUGUGUCAAAUUUGGCAAAUCUGACACCAAGGACAUUAAAAGGUUUGGUGUCAAUACCUGUGUGCAUUACUGAAGUGAGGACUACUUCCUCCAGGGUAAUCUCUAUAGUGACCUUGACCUUCACAUGGCAGGUUCUACCGGUAGAGCAGGACACGCUAACCGGUUUUGCGAACACCUGGUGUCAUUAGAAUAAGUAAAUAAGGAUUUAUUGGUGUAGAUCUUUUAAAAUGUUUCCUCCUUUUUGGGGGACAAGUAUAUCUCCUCCUAAGUCAUUAAUGUAUUUAACAUUUGGAGUGUGCAUUACUGUGAUAUUGUGCAUUUCUUCAUUUUUUUGUAUUUCCAGUUGCUAAUCUUGAUUGCUCUAUAUGCAGCCACUUUGGUUGGAUUUUGUCAGUUUUGUAAAGAAGUAAAUCGUCAAUAGUCCGGCUGAUUGUUCAAGUCUUAUAUGUGCAUUUGUUCUGCUCAUGAUAUCAACCACAAGUAGUUUGGUGUCAGAUGUCAUGAUUGUGACAGCUGAGUGUUAAGUUGAUGAUGUAUGUAUUAGAUUGAAUGGUAAAGUGAGCCAUCAGCCCUGUCAUAAGUCCUCUGCCUGAACAUGACAAUAUUAUUUUCGACAUUUCGGUAACUUCAGGGUCCAUGAAGCUGAAACUUCAUGCGUGAUCCCUGCAGUGGUGUCAUGUCAGGUAUUGCUCACUGGUGGACAUCCUGUCCGGUAUGAAACUGUUCGUGCAACACAACAGCCAUGUGGAAAAUGCCUUCACCAAGCCAUGAAUUUCUCAACAUUUAAUAACUGUAUGGACAAAGUAACAGGUUAAUAUUAAUGUGUAUAGGUUUUAAACAUUAUUAGUUUUAACUUUGAUUUCCCCCAGUUGAUCCAGAUAUUGUUAGAUAGAACACUACAACUACCUGGACACAGGGGAGCUGCAUUAGCCUACUUACAAGUAGUGAAGGUAUUAUAACUGCCCCAAGCAUGAAGUGAUGAAGUGUCUUAAAUGGUCACCCACAUUGAUGCCAAGUAGAUGUAGAAUCAAAACAAUGUUUUCGUUACCAACCCAUUUCUGGUGUUGCCUGCCGUGAUGCUGUAUGAAUAUCUGUAAAAGUGGAGUAAAAUCUAAUCACUCACUCACUCUUUACAUGACCAAUUUUCGCUUUCGGCUGAGUGCUGACAUGAGACAGUGAUGGUGCUUUGUCCUCCGUGCAUCUUCCUGAGGCAAGGAAGUUAGCGGACUGUAAAAGUCCAGUUUUCAUCCAAACUGGAACCGGAAGGACACCUUGACCACACACACUCACAGAUCUCAGAAUGGGGUGUCUGGGUCUGUCACUGAUCACAGUUCUCAGGAUGGGGUGUCUGGGUCUGUCACUGACCACACACACUCACAGUUCUCAGGAUGGGGUGUCUGGGUCUGUCACUAACCACGAUCACAGUUCUCAGGAUGGGGUGUCUGGGUCUGUCACUGACCACACACACUCACAGUUCUCAGGAUGGGGUGUCUGGGUCUGUCACUGACCACACACACUCACAGUUCUCAGGAUGGGGUGUCUGGGUCUGUCACUGACCACGAUCACAGUUCUCAGGAUGGGGUGUCUGGGUCUGUCACUGACCACACACACUCACAGUUCUCAGGAUGGGGUGUCUGGAUCUGUCACUGACCAGGAUCACAGUUCUCAGGAUGGGGUGUCUGGGUCUGUCACUGACCACACUCACAGUUCUCAGGAUAGGACGUCUGGAUCUGUCACUGACCACACUCACAGUUCUCAGGAUGAGGUGUCUGGAUCUGUCACUGACCACACUCACAGUUCUCAGGAUGGGGUGUCUGGAUCUGUCACUGACCACACUCACAGUUCUCAGGAUGGGGUGUCUGGAUCUGUCACUGACCACACUCACAGUUCUCAGGAUGGGGUGUCUGGGUCUGUCACUGACCACACUCACAGUUCUCAAGAUGAGGUGUCUAGAUCUGUCACUGACCACACUCAUAGAUCUCAGGAUGGGGUGUCUGGAUAUGUCACUGAACACACUCACAGAUCUCAGGAUGGGAUGUCUGGGUCUGUCACUGACAACACUCACAGAUCUCAGGAUGGGGUGUCUGGAUCUGUCACUGACCACACUCACAGUUCUCAGGAUGGGGUGUCUGGGUCUGUCACUGACCACACUCACAGAGCUCAGGAUGAGGUGUCUGGUUCUGUCACUGACCACACUCACAGAUCUCAGGAUGGUGGUUUCUUCGUCUGUCACUGACCACGAUCACAGAUGUCAGAAUGGGGUGUCUUGGUCUGUCACUGACCACACACACUCACAGAUCUCAGGUAGGGGUGUCUGGGUCUGUCACUGACCACACACACUCACAGUUCUCAGGAUGGGGUGUCUGGGUCUGUCACUGACCACACACACUCACAGAUCUCAGGAUGGGGUGUCUUGGUCUGUCACUGACCACACACUCACAGAUCUCAGGAUGAGGUGUCUGGGUUUGUCACUGACCACACACUCACAGUUCUCAAGAUGGGGUGUCUGGGUCUGUCACUGACCACACACACUCACAGAUCUCAGGAUGGGGUGUCUUGGUCUGUCACUGACCACACACACUCACAGAUCUCACAAUAGGGUGUCUGGGUCUGUCACUGACCACACACACUCACAGAUCUCAGGAUGGGGGUGUCUGGGUCUGUCACUGACCACACACUCACAGAUCUCACAAUAGGGUGUCUGGGUCUGUCACUGACCACACACACUCACAGAUCUCAGGAUGGGGGUGUCUGGGUCUGUCACUGACCACACACUCACAGAUCUCAGGAUGGGGGUGUCUGGGUCUGUCACUGACCACACACACUCACAGAUCUCAGGAUGGGGUGUCUGGGUCUGUCACUGACCACACACACUCACAGAUCUCAGGAUGGGGUGUCUGGGUCGGUGUCCAGGGGAUGCUGCAGUGUAUGUAGGCCAGACUCUAUCACAUGUCAUGUUGGCAACAAGAGCAACAGCUCAAGUGUGAUAGGGGUGGUUGUGUGUCAACGGUUUGCCAACAAUGGGCAAGUGCGUGCUAUUGAUGUAUUCUCAUUACACUUGUCUGAUGUGUCUCACCAUGCUAAGAAUGACUCUCCCAUCAGCUGUCCGUCCAACCAUUUCCUUGGGUCUACUAAUGUCACUUUAAUGUGUAGAUAUCAAUACCAUCAGCAUCACAUCCCCACCUUAAAGAGAUGAUGAUGAUGCUGAUGAUGAUAUCUGCUGUUUCUGUGUCUUGUUACAGUGUGGGAAGCAAUUAUCUAGUAAUUCUGCGUGUUUAACAUCAGAGAAAACUGCUUUGUUAACCUUGAUUUCCAAUAUACAAUCUGGUUUUACGUUGCUAUUAAUGUUUGGUAAUUCUAGGACAUCUGCAUGUUUGCAUGUGUCUUGAAUCUGUAUUCUUUAAUACAGCAAUGUGGCAAUCUCUAAAUAUUAUGUAAAACUGUUUAUCAUCCAAAACUGGCUCCCACAGGAGAUGUGGCUUGGGCGAGAUCAAGCGUUAUUACCCACGUGGUGAAUGUCUUUGGCAAACCUCUGAUUUCCCUCUUCCGAAAUGGUACGGACAUGAUAUAAAGUCAGCUGAUAGAUAAAGGAAACCGAAUCAUUUUGAUUGCAGAGUCUGGGCCCCAGCAGUGCGAGUGACCGACUGUUGGUCCGAUAUUCAAAGCACCCCGCUUAUGUGACUUUUCAAAUUUUCUUAUAGGUGUCCUGCUUACAAACAUGCCGCUUGAAUUACCAAAAGUAAAAGAAAUUUUUCCAAAAGGAUCUUGAGCGUCGAUGCUGUUAUGUUUGCAAACACAACUGCAGGCGCAUGUUGUUAAAUGCAUAUGCAUAGAAAUGUCAACAAUGCCCAUAUUUGGGCAUAUAUAAAUAUUCAUGCGCAGCCAGAUUUUGCAACCGGUUUCAGUUUGGUCUGUCAACAAACGAAAGUUGUUAUGUAUUUACUCUUUAAUAUAUUUUUAACAUGGGUAAUAAGUAAAAUACAACAUUCAUUCUCAGUAGAUACCAUUUUUAUGAAACUUGUGAACUUUCUAUGGGUCUGACCGAGCAAAAGCAAGGUCAGAUACCACAGGAAGUCCACUCAUUUCGUAAAAAUGGUAUCUAAGGAGAAUGAGUGUAGUAUUCUCUAUAUAUCUACAUUGUAGAUAUUGCUGCAAUCAAAUUGCAUCACAAUGUUUUGCAGACCAUUGUGAUGUCAUUGGUUAUUGCUUAUUAAUGUCUUCAAACUGAAAAAGGUGGAAGAAUGAUGUUGGAUGAUAAUUAAAAUCUCACCCUCGUGUCUUUUGAUAUCAAAUAUAUCAACACUUGUAGAUAAAAGUGCAAAAACUCCUUGGCAAGCCUUCGAGUUUUGCCUCUUUUAUCAACUCAUGUUGAUAUAUGAAAUAUCAAAAGACACUCGGAUGAGAUUAUGGAUAAUGAAGAGUAACAUUAAAAUUCAGAAUAUACCGAAUAUAUCAAUGACAGUUUGAAUUUCUGCCUCUCUGUGCCCUGUGUGAACCUGAGGAUUUCAUGAGACAUGAAUGUACACAUCACAGGUGUCUCUCUACUAUGUUAGGUACUGGCUUCACUAUCAGGUACUCCUACAAUACCAGGUACUCUUUAUGUCAGGUACUCUCCACUAUGUCGGGUACUCUACUAUGUCAGGUACUUGCUUUGUUAUCAGGUACUCUGUACUAUGUUGGGUACUCUACUAUGUCAGGUACUUGCUUUGUUAUCAGGUACUCUCUACUAUGUCGGGUACUCUACUAUGUCAGGUACAUGCUUUGUUAUCAGGUACUCUCUACUAUGUCGGGUACUCUACUAUGUCAGGUACUUGCUUCAUUAUCAGGUUCCCCCCCACAAUGUCAGGCCCUCUCUCUACUAUGUUAGGUACUCCCUACAAUGUCAGGCACUCUCUCUACUAUGUUGGGUACUCCCUACAAUGUCAGGCCCUCUCUCUACUAUGUUAGGUACUCUCUACUAUGUUGGGUACUCCCUACAAUGUCAGGCACUCUCUCUACUAUGUUGGGUACUCCCUACAAUGUCAGGCACUCUCUCUACUAUGUUGGGUACUCCCUACAAUGUCAGGCACUCUCUCUACUAUGUUAGGUACUCUCUACUAUGUUGGGUACUCCCUACAAUGUCAGGCACUCUCUCUACUAUGUUGGGUACUCCCUACAAUGUCAGGCACUCUCUCUACUAUGUUGGGUACUCUCUACAAUGUCAGGCACUCUCUCUACUAUGUUAGGUACUCUCUACUAUGUUGGGUACUCCCUACAAUGUCAGGCCCUCUCUCUACUAUGUUGGGUACUCUCUACUAUGUUGGGUACUCCCUACAAUGUCAGGCCCUCUCUCUACUAUGUUGGGUACUCUCUACUAUGUUGGGUACUCCCUACAAUGUCAGGCCCUCUCUCUACUAUGUUGGGUACUCCCUACAAUGUCAGGCCCUCUCUCUACAAUGUCAGGCCCUCUCUCUACUAUGUUAGGUACUCUCUACUAUGUUGGGUACUCCCUACAAUGUCAGGCCCUCUCUCUACUAUGUUGGACACACUCUAUAUGUCAGGUACCCCCUACAAUGUCAGGCACUCUCUCUACAAUGUCUCUCUAAAUAAAGUCCGGUACUAUACCACCUGCUACAAUGUGGGGCACUCUCUCUACAAUGCCUCUCUAAAUAAAGUCCGGUACUAUACCACCUACUACAAUGUGGGGCACUAUGCCAGGUGCUUGUCCUCAUAUUGAUGGGCUUCACCGUGUAUACAGCAAUGCUCCAGGUGUUGAGGUCUCUGUGUUUGCAAUUACAGGUGUGUUAAUAGUCACAGAUAUGUGUGGAUGUUCUGAAAAUAAACACUUUCACUGAA